Long non-coding RNA from Mesocricetus auratus (golden hamster), 197 nucleotides. RefSeq lists it as uncharacterized. The record is from RefSeq and is a predicted model, not a curated record. Lineage: Eukaryota; Metazoa; Chordata; Mammalia; Rodentia; Cricetidae. The transcript is spliced from 3 exons.
AAUUGCCUGACUGCUCAGGGCAGAGCAAGGAAAAUGUAGCCAGGCAGGAAGUACAGAUGGAGCGACCAAACUAGGAGGUUUCUGGGAAGAGGAAAGACAGAGGAGCAGUCUCAACGGAGAUACCAUGUAGCCACCAAAGGAGUAACCUGCAGGAGCAUUAUAGACAGAAAAGAGAAGAGGAUGUGGGAUGCCCUUCU